GACGUAGGAGGCGAGCGUUAUCCGGAUUCACUGGGCGUAAAGCGCAUGUAGGCGGUUGCACAAGUCCGUUGUUAAAGCCCCUGGCUCAACUGGGGGAGGUCAAUGGAGACUGUGCGACUUGAGGGCAAUAGAGGCACGUGGAACUCCCGGUGUAGCGGUGGAAUGCGUAGAGAUCGGGAAGAACACCAGUGACGAAGGCGACGUGCUGGGUUGCACCUGACGCUGAGAUGCGAAAGUGUGGGGAGCAAACGGG
RNAcentral lists this ribosomal RNA (253 nucleotides) under uncultured bacterium. RNAcentral describes it as "partial 16S ribosomal RNA". It matches the Rfam family "Bacterial small subunit ribosomal RNA", at positions 524 to 776 of the family's 1533-position model. The record is from RNAcentral.